Molecule: ribosomal RNA, 640 nt
Filed under: uncultured bacterium
Lineage: Bacteria
Description: bacterial SSU rRNA
Rfam family: Bacterial small subunit ribosomal RNA
Source: RNAcentral
GAGUUUGAUCCUGGCUCAGGAUGAACGCUGGCGGCGUGCCUAACACAUGCAAGUCGAGCGAAGCAUACAGAAUGAAGUUUUCGGAUGGAUUUCUGUAUGACUGAGCGGCGGACGGGUGAGUAACGCGUGGGUAACCUGCCUUAUACAGGGGGAUAACAGUUAGAAAUGACUGCUAAUACCGCAUAAGCGCACAGUACCGCAUGGUAGUGUGUGAAAAACUCCGGUGGUAUAAGAUGGACCCGCGUCUGAUUAGCCAGUUGGCGGGGUAACGGCCCACCAAAGCGACGAUCAGUAGCCGACCUGAGAGGGUGACCGGCCACAUUGGGACUGAGACACGGCCCAAACUCCUACGGGAGGCAGCAGUGGGGAAUAUUGCACAAUGGGGGAAACCCUGAUGCAGCAACGCCGCGUGAGUGAAGAAGUAUUUCGGUAUGUAAAGCUCUAUCAGCAGGGAAGAAGAUGACGGUACCUGAUUAAGAAGCCCCGGCUAACUACGUGCCAGCAGCCGCGGUAAUACGUAGGGGGCAAGCGUUAUCCGGAUUUACUGGGUGUAAAGGGAGCGCAGACGGCAGUGCAAGUCUGGAGUGAAUGCCCGGGGCCCAACCCCUGAACUGCUCUGGAAACUGUGCGGCUAGAGUAC